GAAGCGCAGCAAUGCGUGCAGGUGACCGGUACUAAUCGGCCGAGGGCUUACACACAA
RNAcentral lists this ribosomal RNA (57 nucleotides) under Dietzia sp. ANT_WB102. RNAcentral's name for it is "partial 23S ribosomal RNA". The record is from RNAcentral. Lineage: Bacteria; Bacillati; Actinomycetota; Actinomycetes; Mycobacteriales; Dietziaceae.